RNAcentral lists this ribosomal RNA (472 nucleotides) under Streptococcus sp. oral taxon B59. Its description in RNAcentral is "bacterial SSU rRNA". It matches the Rfam family "Bacterial small subunit ribosomal RNA", at positions 28 to 475 of the family's 1533-position model. The record is from RNAcentral. Lineage: Bacteria; Bacillati; Bacillota; Bacilli; Lactobacillales; Streptococcaceae.
GACGAACGCUGGCGGCGUGCCUAAUACAUGCAAGUGGAACGCACUGAUGAAGCCGUAGCUUGCUACAAUUUCAUCAGUGAGUCGCGAACGGGUGAGUAACGCGUAGGUAACCUGCCUGGUAGCGGGGGAUAACUAUUGGAAACGAUAGCUAAUACCGCAUAAGACAUUUUACUGCAUGGUAAGAUGUUAAAAGAUGCAACUGCAUCACUACCAGAUGGACCUGCGUUGUAUUAGCUAGUUGGUGAGGUAACGGCUCACCAAGGCCACGAUACAUAGCCGACCUGAGAGGGUGAUCGGCCACACUGGGACUGAGACACGGCCCAGACUCCUACGGGAGGCAGCAGUAGGGAAUCUUCGGCAAUGGGGGGAACCCUGACCGAGCAACGCCGCGUGAGUGAAGAAGGUUUUCGGAUCGUAAAGCUCUGUUGUAAGAGAAGAACGCGUGUGAGAGUGGAAAGUUCACACAGGACGG